Molecule: ribosomal RNA, 779 nt
Filed under: uncultured fungus
Lineage: Eukaryota; Fungi
Description: eukaryotic LSU rRNA
Rfam family: Eukaryotic small subunit ribosomal RNA (bases 1-241)
Source: RNAcentral
UUGCUCUUCAACGAGGAAUGCCUAGUAAGCGCGUAUCAUCAGUACGCGUUGAUUACGUCCCUGCCCUUUGUACACACCGCCCGUCGCUACUACCGAUUGAAUGGCUCAGUGAGGCUUUCGGACUGGCUUAGGGAGGUUGGCAACGACCACCCCGAGCCGGAAAGUUCGUCAAACUCGGUCAUUUAGAGGAAGUAAAAGUCGUAACAAGGUUUCCGUAGGUGAACCUUCGGAAGGAUCAUUACCGUAACGCGGCGGUCCGGCAACCGCAAGGAAGUCGGCCGCCACACGCGUUUAUCACCCUUGACUUUGAGCACCCUUCGUUUCCUCGGCGGGUUCGCCCGCCAGCGAGGACCCCCACAAACCCUUUGUAAUAGCAAUAUUUGUCUGAAAAACAACCAAUAAUCAAAACUUUCAACAAUGGAUCUCUUGGUUCUGGCAUCGAUGAAGAACGCAGCGAAAUGCGAUAAGUAGUGUGAAUUGCAGAAUUCAGUGAAUCAUCGAAUCUUUGAACGCACAUUGCGCCCCUCGGUAUUCCGUGGGGCAUGCCUGUUCGAGCGUCAUUUAACCCCUCAAGCCUAGCUUGGUAUUGGGUGCUUGUCCCGCCUCUCGCGCGGCGACUCACCUCAAAGUCAUUGGCAGCCCGCAUCUCGCCGGCCGUGAGCGCAGCACAGACGCGCUCUUGGCAACGACGGAUCGGCUCUCCAAAAGCUUAUUUCAACCACUGACCUCGGAUCAGGUAGGGAUACCCGCUGAACUUAAGCAUAUCAAUAAGCGGAGGA